Molecule: ribosomal RNA, 574 nt
Filed under: uncultured bacterium
Lineage: Bacteria
Description: partial 16S ribosomal RNA
Rfam family: Bacterial small subunit ribosomal RNA
Source: RNAcentral
UGGGGAAUUUUGGACAAUGGGCGAAAGCCUGAUCCAGCAAUGCCGCGUGUGUGAAGAAGGCCUUCGGGUUGUAAAGCACUUUUGUCCGGAAAGAAAUCCUUGGCUCUAAUAUAGUCGGGGGAUGACGGUACCGGAAGAAUAAGCACCGGCUAACUACGUGCCAGCAGCCGCGGUAAUACGUAGGGUGCAAGCGUUAAUCGGAAUUACUGGGCGUAAAGCGUGCGCAGGCGGUUUGCUAAGACCGAUGCGAAAUCCCCGGGCUAACCUGGGAACUGCAUUGGUGACUGGCAGGCUAGAGUAUGGCAGAGGGGGGUAGAAUUCCCACGUUAGCAGUGAAAUGCGUAGNGAUGUGGAGGAAUACCGAUGGCGAGGCAGCCCCCUGGGCCAAUACUGACGCUCAUGCACGAAAGCGUGGGGGAGCAAACAGGAUUAGAUACCCUGGUAGUCCACGCCCUAAACGAUGUNAACUAGUUGUGGGGAUUCAUUUCCUUAGUAACGUAGCUAACGCGUGAAGUUGACCGCCUGGGGAGUACGGUCGCAAUGAUUUAAAAACUCAAAUGAAUUGACGGGGUCU